CGCGAUUGGUUGAAAAUACAUUGUGUGUGUGAUAGGUGUUCGAAUUAGCGCCGUCUUUUGCGCCCUCUUCAAAAUACUCUUUCUCCUCUUUAUUGCUAUGGCUUUGGUCCGUAUAAGUGUAGCAUAAAGUACCAGCGUUCGACCAGAUUUGAGCAGCGCCACGUUUCAUCGCGUAGUGAGGAGUUGCGUCCAGGCAUGGUUGCCAGGAUUAGUGGUUCGGUGGUAGACGCAGGCCCGAUAUGUCUUCUCGCUGACGUCACAGAAACCGUGUAGCUCAAUCUAUGUUACGGAUUCGAUGACGGUCGUACGCGGCAAUCUUAUAUUAUUUAAUAAUGGCAGCUGUGCAUGGUACCAGUUACACUCAGCGUGUAAGUCUGCUGGAAGGGACUCGUCCCAAUCAACCCUUAAUACCCAAACUCGUUGAAGGAGCAUCUUGGCUCGAACGAUUACAGGCGUGAGCAAUCUCACAAUCUCAGUGGAUAACUCGGGAGGUACUGAAUCUGGCAUCGAUCGAAUAGAGGAUUGAAUCGUCGGAGAAUUCCAAAAAAUACCAAGAGAUUUUAAUGUUUGAGAUUCACCCAACUGUAGUUCCUGGUUUGUGUCUUGUUCGGAUAGUCCUUGUAGCAAUUCCUGGUCUUUGGACGCCCAUUUUCAUAUUUUCAAAACGGCUAGUUGGAUAAUUUCUGUGAAUUACCGCUCUGAGCGACAGUGCUUUGUCCUUCGUAGCAGCUCCGAUGAGGGCGCCAUCUACGGAAAAAUCUCGCUGCAAAACCGACGAGGCUCGCUUUAAUCGGUAUCCCUCGUCAUCGGCCAAUUGUUUGAAGCACCUGAUAGCUGACAACCCGAACGUCACUGCGUUGAGUAGAUAUGUUCCUACCUCCCAGUUAGAGUUGCGCAACAAGAUUUAUUGACACUUCCGGUCUUCUGAACGUACGAGGAACUGUCGGUACACCUUCUCAACAUCAUAAAUAAAUACGGUUUUGGUAAGAGCGGUAUCUCAGAAGACUGUCGAAUAAAUGCUCCUGCAUCUUCGGUCCUGUAUGAAGGGUGUCGGUUAAAGAUACUCCGGUGGUGCUUGGUGCAGAUCCGUCAAACGUGACCCGGAGUUUUGUAGUUUGGCUCUUCUUCUGGUAAUUCUUUGAUUUCGCCAUGAUGUGGCAGGUAAUAUCCGUUAUCUGAGGAGUCGUCUGAUGUGAUCCUGGUCAUAUGUCCCUAUUGCAAGUGUUCUUGAAUGAUCGCCCGAUACUCGGUUUCAAGUUGCUUGUCUGAUUGGAAUCGGUGGUGGAGAGAGGCGAGUCGUUUCAUCGCAAUUGUUUUAGACGACCCAAGCGAAGGAGGCUUUUCGUUAAACGGGACCGCGACGAUGUCAUCGUCCUUCGCUGGUGCGUUGGACGUUGUUUCAGGAGUGCUCCUCACAACGUCAAUCCGUCUCUCAAACGUGUUCAGUUGGUUGGCCCUUAUCGAUUUCCCAAGUUGAGCUCCCGUUGUUGAAUGGUGUCUGGGUUUAAUUAGGACAGGAAUAAUUCGAGUAUAAUGGUGUUUGACGUGACAAAGUCACCUAAGUUCUUCAAUGCGCAGAGAUGGUGUUUGAUAGUGUCGAUUAAAUUCACUAAGGUUUCCGGUGUCUCUUUGGUCAAUUUAGGAUAGUUCUGCAUUGCAAUCAAAUGACGUAGACAAGUUUGUCGUGUACGAUCGAAGGGAAGGGUCGAUGUUCACCCGGCAUCCUCUCCUUGUCUCAGCGCUUGGUCCACAUGGUCAUGCACGCCUGGCAGACGGAUCUUCCUAGCCCAUAGUGCCACCCUCACCAACUUCCGUGGUAAUAAUCGAAUCAAACUGAAGCUUUGGUGAGUUUCUAUCCCCUAGUCGAUUAAAGAAACGGUGGAACUCGUCGCGGUUUGUUGCAAAAAAACAGCUCUGUCCCAAAAGCUAGCACUUUGAAAAUUUGCUAGUACGGCGACGAACAUGCCUGGUCUCAUACUUUUCACCUUCGGCCAGUAUGCCUUGGGCUGCCCCAUCAUCUCCUAAUUGAGUGUUUCGGUUAUAUUGGACCAUCCUUCUAUGCGGACCCAAAUGUUAGUAAGCGUCUCGACUCGCUCCACCUUGACACGAAUCCCGUCUCGGAACCGAUCGUUCGUACGUUGUAAGAUCUCCAUGUUCCGCUAGUUUCGUCACAAAUUUCGAAUGUCAGUGUUUGGCUAUGCUGAUUUUCCUAGUCAUAUCUCGAGCUGAGACGACGCUCUGGAUUUGUCGGAAUUUGGACCACACCUACGUACAGGGUGAAUCUCAUCUUCUCUUACGUGUUAUAGAGGGAUCUUUGUCAUUUAUCUUGCUUCACACUUUUCUUGUACUCGAAACGUUUUAUAAUAAUGUUGAAAAUAUACAGACAGUAUAUAAUGGCGGUUAUUAUUUGUCGGGAGGCCACGUUUCCUUCUGAAUAACUUUCAAUCCUGUAUAAAAUAUUUUUUAGAUGUUUAGCGCUAAUGCCAUUUAAUUCCUCAGCGCUGGAUCUCCUUUUGCCAGAAUUUCAAGUUUUCCCACAAUUGCUGCCGUAGCCCAUGCGGUACAUCUACAUCGGUGUAAUUAAGCUUACCUUCGAUUGGAUACUUAUCAAUUAAUAGGAUUCCACUUAAAUCCGUUUAUCACAACCAUGAUGAUGAGUUAUCAUAUGCGUUCGGUUUCUUCUAUUUCAUCAUUGCGACUUUGCCGUUGAUUAUAAUAUAGCCCAUGUAAAAGCGGAAAACGACUCGUGAGAUGCGCCCUUCUAGCGAUGUCGUGCACGAAUUCGUUAAUUGCGGCUCAGCCAGCCAUGGGAUAGUUUACGAUUGAUAAAUCGCAACGCCAUACAAGGCUGCUAGAAUGCGGAUAAUUUUGAAACGAAAUCCUAAACGAACCUCUGGUGAUAUGUGCCACCAAGCGAGAUUUUCCCUAUGCUGAGAAUUGAUACAGAUGUGUUGUGACAUCGCUGCGAUUUCAUAGCAGUGAUAUUUUAUUAUUUGGAACAUGUAUAACAAUGCUAUAAGAUGGUCAACAGCUGUUCAAACAUACUUGUACGAACCCGUAAUAAUCUUAAGAUACCGUUAAUUGCCGUCA
Bombus huntii is the source of this 3090-nucleotide long non-coding RNA. RefSeq lists it as uncharacterized. Lineage: Eukaryota; Metazoa; Arthropoda; Insecta; Hymenoptera; Apidae. The record is from RefSeq and is a predicted model, not a curated record. The transcript is spliced from 5 exons.